RNAcentral lists this ribosomal RNA (439 nucleotides) under Rothia sp. oral taxon 188. Its description in RNAcentral is "bacterial SSU rRNA". It matches the Rfam family "Bacterial small subunit ribosomal RNA", at positions 28 to 462 of the family's 1533-position model. The record is from RNAcentral. Lineage: Bacteria; Bacillati; Actinomycetota; Actinomycetes; Micrococcales; Micrococcaceae.
GACGAACGCUGGCGGCGUGCUUAACACAUGCAAGUCGAACGAUGAAGCGGUGCUUGCACCGUGGAUUAGUGGCGAACGGGUGAGUAAUACGUGAGUGACCUACCUUUGACUCUGGGAUAAGCCUGGGAAACUGGGUCUAAUACCGGAUACGACCAAUCUCUGCAUGGGGUGUUGGUGGAAAGCGUUAUGGAGUGGUUUUAGAUGGGCUCACGGCCUAUCAGCUUGUUGGUGAGGUAAUGGCUUACCAAGGCGACGACGGGUAGCCGGCCUGAGAGGGUGACCGGCCACACUGGGACUGAGACACGGCCCAGACUCCUACGGGAGGCAGCAGUGGGGAAUAUUGCACAAUGGGCGCAAGCCUGAUGCAGCGACGCCGCGUGAGGGAUGACGGCCUUCGGGUUGUAAACCUCUGUUAGCAUCGAAGAAGCGAAAGUUGAUG